CUCUUGUACUUGAGUAAAAAUAGAAGUACUCAGAUCUUGUACUUGAGUAAAGGUAGAAUUACUCAGAUCUCGUACUUGGGUAAAGUAGAAGUACUCAGAUCUUGUACUUGAUAAAAGUAGAAGUACUCAGAUCUUGUACUUGAGUAAAGGUAGAAUUACUCAGAUCUCGUACUUGAUU
Long non-coding RNA from Notothenia coriiceps (black rockcod), 178 nucleotides. RefSeq lists it as uncharacterized. The record is from RefSeq and is a predicted model, not a curated record. The transcript is spliced from 3 exons. NCBI's taxonomy places the organism in Eukaryota, Metazoa, Chordata, Actinopteri, Perciformes, Nototheniidae.